UACGUAGGGGGCUAGCGUUGUCCGGAUUUAUUGGGCGUAAAGAGCGUGUAGGCGGCCAGGUAGGUCUGGUGUGAAAACUCGAGGCUUAACCUCGAGAUGUCAUCGGAAACCAUCUGGCUAGAGUCCGGAAGAGGAGAGUGGAAUUCCUGGUGUAGCGGUGAAAUGCGUAGAUAUCGGGAGGAACACCAGUGGCGAAGGCGACUACCUGGCCUGUUCUUGACGCUGAGGCGCGAAAGCUAGGGUAGCAAACGGG
This 253-nucleotide ribosomal RNA is filed under the name uncultured bacterium. RNAcentral's name for it is "partial 16S ribosomal RNA". It matches the Rfam family "Bacterial small subunit ribosomal RNA", at positions 524 to 776 of the family's 1533-position model. The record is from RNAcentral.